Molecule: long non-coding RNA, 295 nt
Filed under: Betta splendens (Siamese fighting fish)
Lineage: Eukaryota; Metazoa; Chordata; Actinopteri; Anabantiformes; Osphronemidae
Description: lncRNA (ENSBSLG00000025898.1)
Source: RNAcentral
CUGAUUGUGAGAUGUAGGAGGCGAAGGGCGGAUCUAAUGCAGGUAAAAACAAAGAUGGCAGACAAUGCAAGUUCACUCACAGCCUGUGGGGAAGAGGACACGUGUUUGACCGAGGAACACGGGAAUGGACUCAGGAAAUCGUGAACUGCGUCAUGUGUGUUCGAACUCCAUCUGUUCAGAAAUUGAUGAGAAGCAGAAGACGAGGGCACUGACGAACAUCGGAUCAGUUUUAGGGACUAUAUCGCUCCAGCUUUCCUAUAAAUAACAACACUCCUACAUUUGAAGCAAACUAAUG